RNAcentral lists this ribosomal RNA (491 nucleotides) under uncultured bacterium. RNAcentral describes it as "partial 16S ribosomal RNA". It matches the Rfam family "Bacterial small subunit ribosomal RNA", at positions 29 to 507 of the family's 1533-position model. The record is from RNAcentral.
GUGAACGCUGGCGGUAGGCCUAACCCCUGCAAGUCGAACGGCAGCACAGUAAGCGCUUGCUCUUACGGGUGGCGAGUGGCGGACGGGUGAGGAAUACAUCGGAAUCUACUUUUUCGUGGGGGAUAACGUAGGGAAACUUACGCUAAUACCGCAUACGACCUACGGGUGAAAGCAGGGGAUCUUCGGACCUUGCGCGAUUGAAUGAGCCGAUGUCGGAUUAGCUAGUUGGCGGGGUAAGGGCCCACCAAGGCGACGAUCCGUAGCUGGUCUGAGAGGAUGAUCAGCCACACUGGAACUGAGACACGGUCCAGACUCCUACGGGAGGCAGCAGUGGGGAAUAUUGGACAAUGGGCGCAAGCCUGAUCCAGCCAUACCGCGUGGGUGAAGAAGGCCUUCGGGUUGUAAAGCCCUUUUGUUGGGAAAGAAAAGCAGCAGGUUAAUACCCCGCUGUUCUGACGGUACCCAAAGAAUAAGCACCGGCUAACUUCGUG